Molecule: RNA transcript, 1808 nt
Organism: Nomascus leucogenys (northern white-cheeked gibbon)
Lineage: Eukaryota; Metazoa; Chordata; Mammalia; Primates; Hylobatidae
Gene: MRPS34
Gene name: mitochondrial ribosomal protein S34
Exons: 6
Source: RefSeq, a predicted model, not a curated record
GGGACACCGGCCUCUUCCGGUGACUUCCGGCCGGAGCGCUGAGGACGCGGACCUGUCAUGGCGCGGAAGAAGGUGCGUCCGCGGCUGAUUGCUGAGCUGGCCCGCCGCGUGCGUGCCCUGCGGGAGCAACUGAACAGGCCGCGCGACUCGCAGCUCUACGCUGUGGACUACGAGACCCUGACGCGGCCGUUCUCUGGACGCCGGCUGCCGGUCCGGGCCUGGGCCGACGUGCGCCGCGAGAGCCGCCUCUUGCAGCUGCUCGGCCGCCUCCCGCUCUUCGGCCUGGGCCGCCUGGUCACGCGCAAGUCUUGGCUGUGGCAGCACGACGAGCCGUGCUACUGGCGCCUCACGCGGGUGCGGCCCGACUACACGGCGCAGAACUUGGACCAUGGGAAGGCCUGGGGCAUCCUGACCUUCAAAGGGAAGACGGAGAGCGAGGCGCGGGAGAUCGAACACGUCAUGUACCAUGACUGGCGGCUGGUGCCCAAGCACGAGGAGGAGGCCUUCACCGCGUUCACGCCGGCGCCGGAAGACAGCCUGGCCCCCGUGCCCUACCCGCCGCUCCUCCGGGCCAUGAUUAUCGCAGAACGACAGAAAAAUGGAGACACAAGCACCGAGGAGCCCAUGCUGAAUGUGCAGAGGAUACGCAUGGAACCCUGGGAUUACCCUGCAAAACAGGAGGACAAAGGAAGGGCCAAGGGCACCCCCGUCUAGAAUGCCAGAACCAGCGGGUGGCCUGAGGGGCUGUGAGCCAGCGGGGACCUUGUUGAUGAAAGAAACCAUCUUCGCAUUACACCCGAGUCUGCCCCUCGGAGCAGGGAGCUCACCUUCCGCGACGUGUUCUGAGGGUGAGCGGCGCGGCGCGGGGCGGGGGCGGGUGGCCGGUGCUGGGCCGGCCUGAUGCCCCGUCCCCGCCUGCCCCGCAGCCUGCACCGGCGCACACGAACGCACCUUCCUGGCCGUGAAGCCGGACGGCGUGCAGCGGCGGCUGGUGGGCGAGAUUGUGCGGCGCUUCGAGAGGAAGGGCUUCAAGUUGGUGGCGCUGAAGCUGGUGCAGGUGGGGGCGCGGUGAGCGAGCGGGGGCGCGGUGUGGGGGGACGGGGGGCGGGGACCUGGGGACGCCUGGGUGCCGGGCGCGGGCGCAGGCGGCCUGACCCUCCCGCAGGCCUCCGAGGAGCUGCUGCGCGAGCACUACGCCGAGCUGCGUGAACGCCCGUUCUACGGCCGCCUGGUCAAGUAUAUGGCCUCCGGGCCGGUGGUGGCCAUGGUAUGGCAGGGGCUGGACGUGGUGCGCACCUCGCGGGCGCUCAUCGGGGCCACGAACCCGGCCGACGCCCCGCCCGGCACCAUCCGCGGGGAUUUCUGCAUCGAGGUUGGCAAGAACCUGAUUCACGGCAGCGACUCGGUGGAGAGUGCCCGCCGCGAGAUCGCGCUCUGGUUCCGCGCAGACGAGCUCCUGUGCUGGGAGGACAGCGCCGGGCACUGGCUGUAUGAGUAGCCCGGCAGGUGCGCGUCGCGGAGGCUCUCACACUCCAGCCUCCUCCAGGGCCCAGGUGGCCGGGCUUCUGGCCCCACCCUACAGCGCUGGGAACAUCCCUUUGGAUGCGCUGCUGAACUUCCAUCCACCUGUCAGGACGUUGCAUCAAGGGAGGCGCGGGCCUCUCUAAUCCCUGGUGUACAGGGCUUCGUGCCCGAGGAGCUACUCCAGGAGCCUGCGCGGCUCACCUGGAAACGUGCCAGGACACUGUCCUGGUGCCCAGCCCAACGUGAUCCAACUUUUCUUUUUAUAAUAAAGUGAAGUCCUCGUU